AAAACAGAAUUGUUCUGGAAAAGAAAAGCUGUGCUUGUGUAUUUUGCUGAAUUUGACUUGUGGAUAGUACACUUUCUGGUGCCUCUGGCCUGCCAUAAACCACAGUGCUCAUUUUUGCUUACAACUCAUCCACUUCUCUGUCUAUCCUGCUGAGAAUGAUGGCCAUGUAUUUUGGGUAGAGAGAGAGUGUGCGUGACUGCAAGGAGAAGAGGGGUACAAAGAAAAGAAAUCAGCUUUCAAGAAAGCCUUGCACUUCUACUCCAGGAGUUGUCAGCCAGGGAAAUGCAUCCACAGGCACUGAGGCAGUGCUGGCACUUCAUAGGCAGAGACUGGGGGAUGCUGUAGCUCUUGGGGAAGUUCAAGGGCUGCAACUAGAGUGCAACAUGGACAGAUUGCUCAGACAAUCAGCUGGAUUCUCCCAGGAGGUUGUAUCCACAGCUGUGACAGAAUGGGAGCUGCUGCUUAGCAGACAUGGGUAUCUAU
Long non-coding RNA from Cuculus canorus (common cuckoo), 483 nucleotides. RefSeq lists it as uncharacterized. The record is from RefSeq and is a predicted model, not a curated record. The transcript has 3 exons. Lineage: Eukaryota; Metazoa; Chordata; Aves; Cuculiformes; Cuculidae.